AUAAAUCCAACAGAUAUAGAAAUACGUAGAGUGAUAGAUGAAAGUUAU
This 48-nucleotide non-coding RNA is filed under the name Trypanosoma brucei brucei. The record is from RNAcentral. Lineage: Eukaryota; Euglenozoa; Kinetoplastea; Trypanosomatida; Trypanosomatidae.